Molecule: ribosomal RNA, 253 nt
Filed under: uncultured bacterium
Lineage: Bacteria
Description: partial 16S ribosomal RNA
Rfam family: Bacterial small subunit ribosomal RNA
Source: RNAcentral
GACAGAGGGUGCAAACGUUGCUCGGAAUUACUGGGCGUAAAGCGCGUGUAGGCGGAUCGGAAAGUCGGGCGUGAAAUCCCCAGGCUCAACCUGGGAACUGCACUCGAAACUCCCGGUCUUGAGUGGUGGAGAGGGAAGUGGAAUUCCUGGUGUAGAGGUGAAAUUCGUAGAUAUCAGGAGGAACACCAGUGGCGAAGGCGGCUUCCUGGACACCAACUGACGCUGAGACGCGAAGGCGUGGGGAGCAAACAGG